RNAcentral lists this long non-coding RNA (3185 nucleotides) under Citrus sinensis (sweet orange). RNAcentral describes it as "long non-coding RNA (CSIN_LNC001177)". The record is from RNAcentral. Lineage: Eukaryota; Viridiplantae; Streptophyta; Magnoliopsida; Sapindales; Rutaceae.
UUUCAAUGAAAUACAUAUUCUGCAAUUGUGGCACUUUGUAUUGUGCGUGGCACUUUGCACCAUGCAUGGCACUUUACGGCACUUUGACCCUCAAGAGGUGGCCCAUGCAUAGUCUCAAGAGGUGGCCCACACAACUUCAAGAGGUGGUCCCCAAUGCAAAAUCUCAUAGAACAAAAAUUUCAUUUGUUAAAAUCCACUUUCUCAUUCAUAGAAAAAUCAAUGCUUUUUCAUACUUAUGCCAAUGAACCAUCACACAUACAUAUGCCCAUAUACAUAAUCAUGUUCAACACAUACCAACACAUCACAUAGACACAUGGGCAGAGACAUCUAAAUCCAUAUUCGUAUAUGUAUCAAAAUAGGCUUUUCACACAAGUCAAACAUAUAUAGAAUAAGUUAAUAAUUGUCAUAUCUUGUAUUUGUUUAAGGUGUUGGAGGUGAUUGAGGCUCUUAGAGGCAUAGAGGUGUGUUAAUUCAAAUUCUUUUGUCGAGGUAAGUAACUUCAUUCCUAGUAUACUGGAUAUGUACAAGUAUUUUGAGAAAAUAAUUCAAACCUCCAAUAUAAUAGGCAGCGGAAUAAUCUGAAAAUUUGGCCAAACCAUCUAUCAUCCUCAAUUCAAGUCUACCUUCUCACUCAUUAUGAAUCAUUCCUGACUUCUGGAAACCAAAUCAUAAUAAACUAUAAUGAGUAUAAAACUCAGUAAGCAAACUAGUUUUUCUUAUAUCAAAAUACAUCCAUACUUAUACAUAAUGCAAUUGGAUGAUAUGUCAUGAUCUUUUAGAAAUAUUGUAAAACAAAUUCAUAAAAACCUCUUUCUAUCGCUUUCAAACUUUCUCAUUUUCUUUCAAUGAAAUACAUAUUCUGCAAUUGUGGCACUUUGUAUUGUGCGUGGCACUUUGCACCAUGCAUGGCACUUUACGGCACUUUGACCCUCAAGAGGUGGCCCCCGCAUAGUCUCAAGAGGUGGCCCCCAAUGCAAAAUCUCAUAGAACAUAAAUUCCAUUUAUUAAAAUCCACUUUCUCAUUCAUAGAAAACUCAAUGCUUUUUCAUGCUUAUGCCAAUGAACAAUCACACAUACAUAUGCCAAUAUACAUAAUCACGCUCAACACAUACCAACACAUCACAUAAACACAUGGGCAGAGACAUCUAAAUCCAUAUUCGUAUAUGUAUCAAAAUAGGCUUUUCACACAAGUCAAACAUAUAUAGAAUAAGUUAAUAAUUGUCAUAUCUUGUAUUUGUUUAAGGUGUUGGAGGUGAUUGAGGCUCUUAGAGGCAUAGAGGUGUGUUAAUUCAAAUUCUUUUGUCGAGGUAAGUAACUUCAUUCCUAGUAUACUGGAUAUGUACAAGUAUUUUGAUAUUAUUAUUAUAAGUAUAAAUGUUUUUAUACUACUUAAAAGAUUAAUGGAUUUUCAUAACAAAAUUAACUUAUGAAAAUGUUUUCAAAACCUAAAUUCUUUUUAACAAAGUAUUUUAUAAAUGCUUUUAAAUAUGUAAAUUAUUUAUGACAUGACUACCUUUUAUGGUUUUAUCUAUAAAAUAAUUUGCAAGCCUAAAUUGUUGUUAUGGACAUUUAUGAAAUUGAUACGAAUGUUUUUGUGCUUAUGAAUGUUUUUGUCCUUAUGAAUAUUUUCAAUUAUUUAUGAUUGUACGGGGGCCACCUCUUGGGACUAUAUGGGGGCCACCUCUUGGGACUAUAUGGGGACCACCUCUUGAAGGCUAAAGCAUCGCAAAGUGCCACAUACAGUGCAAAGUGCCACGUAUAAGUCAUUAUGUUUUGGCUCAUUGUCCGUAGUUAUUCUGAUUAUGAUUCUGAUCGUAUAAUACGAUAUAUGUUUGUUCUGGACCAGUACUGGGUUUUUGUUAUGAGUGUGCAUAUGAUAUUCUGAUUCUGUUUCUGGCCGGGUCACCGGUACUAUAGGUGACACUAUGUGACAUGAGCUAACCUUUUGUUUUCUGUGAAUGUGAUAUAUGAUUUGCUUUCGUAAGUAACUAUGCUUUUGAUAUUCUGAAUUACAAUGAAUUUAUGUUAUUUUAUCAUGAUAUAUCGUUUUAUGAAAUUUAUGGAUUAUGAUAUAUGUUUUAAUUAAAGGAAGGCUUGCAAUAUUUUUGGUAUCGAUAGGCUUAGUGAGUUAGGAAUGGUUUUACUUACCGAGUUGACGGCUCACCCCUCGUCAUUACUUUUUGUAGAUUAAGUUCCAUUUGAGAGGUGUGCUUAGCUUUGGAGUUAGAGAUUUUGUUUAUGUUUGCUGUUUGAAUAAGAAGAGGAAUAGACUCACGUUUUUUUUUAGUUUAUUUCUGUUAUGAACUUGUAAUUUGGAGUUUGAGACUUUUGUUAUUGCUAUGUUUCGGGAGAGAUUAUUUAGUGUUAGACGUAUGAAUUUGUGGAUUUAUUUGAAUAAGAAUUUGAGGUAUUUUCAGUUUGGAAUUUAUGAGUAAGGAUUACGAUUUGUAAGUAACCUCCUUCUUUACGUGCUCCGCACGUGUUAGAUUUGUAACACCCCAGCCCGAACGCCGAGGGCAAAUCCGACCACAACUCACAUGUGAAUUUAAAUAACCCUUUACAAAUCUUCUCACUCAUUAUGAAUCAUUCCUGACUUCUGGAAACCAAAUCAUAAUAAACUAUAAUGAGUAUAAAACUCAGUAAGCAAACUAGUUUUUCUUAUAUCAAAAUACAUCCAUACUUAUACAUAAUGCAAUUGGAUGAUAUGUCAUGAUCUUUUAGAAAUAUUGUAAAACAAAUUCAUAAAAACCUCUUUCUAUCGCUUUCAAACUUUCUCAUUUUCUUUCAAUGAAAUACAUAUUCUGCAAUUGUGGCACUUUGUAUUGUGCGUGGCACUUUGCACCAUGCAUGGCACUUUACGGCACUUUGACCCUCAAGAGGUGGCCCCCGCAUAGUCUCAAGAGGUGGCCCCCAAUGCAAAAUCUCAUAGAACAUAAAUUCCAUUUAUUAAAAUCCACUUUCUCAUUCAUAGAAAACUCAAUGCUUUUUCAUGCUUAUGCCAAUGAACAAUCACACAUACAUAUGCCAAUAUACAUAAUCACGCUCAACACAUACCAACACAUCACAUAAACACAUGGGCAGAGACAUCUAAAUCCAUAUUCGUAUAUGUAUCAAAAUAGGCUUUUCACACAAGUCAAACAUAUAUAUUGUUUAUUGUGAUUCGUUUUAAAGUCUAGUUUACUUAC